GAGUUGCCAGUGCUGUACCAUGCUGGUAGCCAGUGUGAACUAGGCCUUGCUGGUAACCAGUGUUGUGCCUCACUGACUGCUC
This 82-nucleotide microRNA precursor is filed under the name Lepisosteus oculatus (spotted gar). RNAcentral describes it as "miRNA (ENSLOCG00000018421.1)". The record is from RNAcentral. Lineage: Eukaryota; Metazoa; Chordata; Actinopteri; Semionotiformes; Lepisosteidae.